This 405-nucleotide ribosomal RNA is filed under the name uncultured bacterium. RNAcentral describes it as "partial 16S ribosomal RNA". It matches the Rfam family "Bacterial small subunit ribosomal RNA", at positions 28 to 526 of the family's 1533-position model. The record is from RNAcentral.
GAUGAACGCUGGCGGCGUGCCUAAUACAUGCAAGUCGAGCGACGCGGGGACGGGUGAGUAACACGUGGAUAACCUCCUAUAAGACUGGGAUAACUUCGUGAAACCGGAGCUAAAACGGAUACUUAUAGAUGGAUCCGCGCUGCAUUAGCUAGUUGGUAGGGUAACGGCUUACCAAGGCAACGAUGCAUAGGCGACCUGGGAGGGUGAUCGGCCCAAAUGGAACGGAGAAAAGGGCCAGACUUCCACGGGAGGGCGGAGUGGGGAAUCUUCGGAAAUGGGGGGAACCCUGACCGAGCAACGCUGGGUGAGUGGAGAAGGUUUUCGGAGCGGAAAGCUCUGUUGUGAAGGAAGCGGUACUUAACCAGAAAGGGACGGCUAACUACGUGCCAGCAGCCGCGGUAAUUC